Ictalurus punctatus (channel catfish) is the source of this 402-nucleotide long non-coding RNA. RefSeq lists it as uncharacterized. Lineage: Eukaryota; Metazoa; Chordata; Actinopteri; Siluriformes; Ictaluridae. The record is from RefSeq and is a predicted model, not a curated record. The transcript has 2 exons.
AGCUGGACAGAGUGCAGAUGACAGCUGGACGGAGUGCGCUAACUCGGAGAGCUCGGAUUGAGACGCAGCUGAGACCCACAACUCUACACACACAUACAGAGAGGGAGGAAUGAUCAGGACAAACCGGAAAAAUCUGGAGCUGAAAGCAUCUGGAACUCGUAAACAUCUGGACGUUAGUGUGAUGCUGUACGGUCAUGUGGGAGACGCACCAUCUGUCUACAAACACAGACGCAGAAAACACAGAGGACACACGCGACGCCGAGGAGAUACGGGACAGGAGAACCGGGAGACUGAGAAAGAACAAACGCACGAUCAUCGGGGGGGGUGGGUGUGUGUGUGUGUGUGUGUGUGUGUGUGUGUGUGUGUGUGGAGUCAAUAGGAAAUAAAUAUGAAUAAAUAAUC